This 253-nucleotide ribosomal RNA is filed under the name uncultured bacterium. RNAcentral describes it as "partial 16S ribosomal RNA". It matches the Rfam family "Bacterial small subunit ribosomal RNA", at positions 524 to 776 of the family's 1533-position model. The record is from RNAcentral.
UACGAAGGGUGCAAACGUUGCUCGGAAUUAUUGGGCGUAAAGCGCGUGUAGGCGGCAUUGCAAGUCGCGUGUGAAAGCCCCCGGCUCAACUGGGGAGGGUCACGCGAUACUGAUCGACUCGAAGGCAGGAGAGGGUAGUGGAAUUCCCGGUGUAGUGGUGAAAUGCGUAGAUAUCGGGAGGAACACCAGUGGCGAAGGCGACUACCUGGCCUGUUCUUGACGCUGAGGCGCGAAAGCUAGGGGAGCAAACGGG